Molecule: ribosomal RNA, 241 nt
Filed under: uncultured bacterium
Lineage: Bacteria
Description: partial 16S ribosomal RNA
Rfam family: Bacterial small subunit ribosomal RNA
Source: RNAcentral
CGACCGGCGCACGGGUGAGUAACGCGUAUGCAGCCUGCCCGAUACCGGGGUAUAGCCCAUGGAAACGUGGAUUAACACCCCAUAGUACUUUUAUCCUGCCUGGGAUGUGAGUUAAAUGUUCAAGGUAUCGGAUGGGCAUGCGUCCUAUUAGUUAGUUGGCGGGGUAACAGCCCACCAAGACGAUGAUAGGUAGGGGUUCUGAGAGGAAGGUCCCCCACAUUGGAACUGAGACACGGUCCAA